Molecule: ribosomal RNA, 376 nt
Filed under: uncultured bacterium
Lineage: Bacteria
Description: bacterial SSU rRNA
Rfam family: Bacterial small subunit ribosomal RNA
Source: RNAcentral
GACAGAGGGUGCAAACGUUGUUCGGAAUUACUGGGCGUAAAGCGUGUGUAGGCGGCUUUGUAAGUCGGAUGUGAAAGCCCCGGGCUCAACCUGGGAAGUGCAUUCGAUACUGCAAAGCUUGAGUAUCGGAGAGGUCGGUAGAAUUCUCGGUGGAGAGGUGAAAUUCGUAGAUAUCGAGGGGAAUACCAGUGGCGAAGGCGGCCGACUGGACGAAUACUGACGCUGAGACACGAAAGCGUGGGGAGCAAACAGGAUUAGAUCCCCUGGUAGUCCACGCCGUAAACGAUGGGUGCUAGGUGUCACGGGCUUUGACUCUUGUGGCGCCGUAGCUAACGCGUUAAGCACCCCGCCUGGGAAGUACGGCCGCAAGGCUAAA